AUUGAACGCUGGCGGCAGGCCUAACACAUGCAAGUCGAGCGAGCGGCGGACGGGUGAGUAAUGUAUGGGGACUGCCCGAUAGAGGGGGAUAACUACUGGAAACGGUGGCUAAUACCGCAUACUAUCGGAUAACCCAUAUGGGAUUAGCUAGUAGGUGGGGUAAAGGCUCACCUAGGCGACGAUCCCUAGCUGGUCUGAGAGGAUGAUCAGCCACACUGGAACUGAACCACGGCCCAAAGUCCAACGGAGGCAGCGGUGGGGAAUAUUGCACAAUGGGGACAAGCCUGAUGCAGAAAUGCCGCGUAUAGAAAGAGGGCCUUAGUGUGGUAAAGUACUUUCAGCGGGGAGGCGUUACCCGCAGAAGAAGCACCGGCUAACUCCGUGCCAGCAGCCGCGGUAAUUC
RNAcentral lists this ribosomal RNA (403 nucleotides) under uncultured bacterium. RNAcentral describes it as "partial 16S ribosomal RNA". It matches the Rfam family "Bacterial small subunit ribosomal RNA", at positions 30 to 526 of the family's 1533-position model. The record is from RNAcentral.